UACGAAGGUCCCAAGCGUUAUCCGGAUUUAUUGGGCUUAAAGGGUGCGUAGGCGGGCUAUUAAGUCAGUGGUGAAAGCCUCAAGCUUAACUUGAGAAUUGCCAUUGAUACUGAUGACCUUGAGUACAUUUGAAGUGGGCGGAAUGUGUCAUGUAGCGGUGAAAUGCUUAGAUAUGACACAGAACACCGAUUGCGUAGGCAGCUCACUAAACUGUUACUGACGCUGAGGCACGAAAGCGUGGGGAGCAAACAGG
Molecule: ribosomal RNA, 253 nt
Filed under: uncultured bacterium
Lineage: Bacteria
Description: partial 16S ribosomal RNA
Rfam family: Bacterial small subunit ribosomal RNA
Source: RNAcentral